UCUGCUGAUGGAGCUGCAGCACUCGCCAUGAGAAGGUUAGAGACUGGAAGUGCCGGCUCCUGCCAGCACACAGUGAUUUGCAAGUGAAUGCGAGGGAGGGAGCAUCCGAGAGGAGGGCUGCGCAUGAAAGGCGUCCCCUCCCCCGCAGGGCAGAAAGACUCUCUGUUUCCAGCCUAAGAACAGACCGUCCAAACCCAAGUAUUAGCGGAGCGCCAAGCAAAUGGCCAUCAGACCAGAUUCACAGGACUAACUCUUGGAUUAAUGGACUGCUGUCAUGUUUGAAAUUUCUUCAUGCUUCUGAACCAGGUACUUUAUAUUUUCUUCCGGUUUUGCAACCAUGGUUUUGUAUUCUAUCGCUUUAUCGACUGUUGGGCAGUGCUGCUGCACUGAGGAGGUACCCAUGGAUUGAAAGGGUCCCUUCACAGGUGAACAUUUGGCGAGUAAUCAAUGUUGACAUUUAACAGACAAACACAUUGAUAAACCUGUUAGUCAUCAGUAAACAAGGACAAUGAAGUGCACUUGACUCCUAUUAUGUGGAAGCCAGGUCCCAGCAGCAAUUUUUAAUGUCAAAAAGCUGAACAAGGCCUAUGUGAAAUUUUUGGUAAAAUUUUAUUGUCCAGUAUAUUGGUUUUCGUUCUUUAAGUAUAUAUUGAACAGUUCAGUGGGACAAAGAUAUUGCUUUGCACUGGGUAGAGCAGUGAUAAUCAAUGGAUUACCUAACUUUCAGUUUCACAGAACUCAGACUCUAGUAGAGUAAAGCACAUUCAAUUAUGCAAAUGAUUUUAAUACAACCCAUUGAGAUAAGUGCUGGAAAGGCUGGAACUUGGUUCUACUGUAACUUUUAAAGGAUCUAGACCUACUGUGCACAAAGAUGAAUAGUAUGAUGGUA
Rattus rattus (black rat) is the source of this 889-nucleotide long non-coding RNA. RefSeq lists it as uncharacterized. Lineage: Eukaryota; Metazoa; Chordata; Mammalia; Rodentia; Muridae. The record is from RefSeq and is a predicted model, not a curated record. The transcript is spliced from 3 exons.